This 2230-nucleotide long non-coding RNA is filed under the name Nicotiana benthamiana. RNAcentral's name for it is "long non-coding RNA (NBEN_LNC022720)". The record is from RNAcentral. Lineage: Eukaryota; Viridiplantae; Streptophyta; Magnoliopsida; Solanales; Solanaceae.
UAAAUUGUUUUGGGCGAUUUUGAGGUUCUCUUCUUCCUGCGGAGGAAAAUUAGUUUUUGCCUUUGCACCGCGAAAUUCUGUCGCCGCCGCAUCGUAGGCUUUAGCUGCUUCCUCCGCCGUAUCAAAAAUAAAUAAUUAAAUUGAUCACUUAUCGUGAAUAUUUCCCUCAAAUACAUUAAAAAAUUCAUUUCUUAUAUUUCCAGUACCAACUCAUUCGGCUAACAAAUUAAUCUAAACUGCAAAACAACUGUAAUACAAUACCAUCAGAUAUUAAUGACUAAGAAAUAGUACUGGAGUACUUUCAAUUAUACUCCAUUCAAGCAUUUGAAUUAAAAUGACACGGAUUUCCCAAAAGUUAUCCAAGUGUAUGAUCAUUUCCUGAAAGUAAUUUUUACUCAUAGAAAUUAAAAUUAGAAAUAAUCGCAAGUAUAAUAUAAAUUAUAUAUCUACUUAAUGAUUUUGGAUAUUUAAUAAAAUACAAUUAAACCUCUUUUAUAAUAAUAUUUUUUAAUAUAAUAUUAUAUUAUAAUAGUAGUAACAACUUUUUACUUAUAAUAGUAAAAGCCAAUCGUUGUUAUAACAGUAGGUUUCUCUUUGUAAAGAAACAAGUAAAUGUAAUGGCAAAUAUCGUUUAAUCCAUUAGUGAGGCUAACAGUUCUUCACUUAAAGAAAAAAAUAAACAAAGAGAGGAGUUAAAUAUGUUUGUUACGAAGGGAAAUAUUUUAAUUUUUUUUUCCUACUUAAUCAAAAGAAGUAAGUAAGAGUAUGUAUUUAUUACGUUACUACGGUCAAAUAUCCGUAUACUUAACUCGUUUAGCUUAAAGAACGUAUUUAUUACGUUAGCUGAAAGAUAAAAACAAACCACCUAAAGGGGAGCAGACAACACCCACGUGGCACAGACUCCAUUAUUGCUCAAAAAUAACUCUGUCCUCCUCAGUAUCUGCCAUGUCCGCACUCUAAUGGACCACACGUGUCACACACCCCCACAAAAAAAAGGGUAAAAAAAAAGCAAAGUAUGAAUAAAAAAGCGAAUAUUUUAACUGUAAAUUGGAUAAAAUUUAUCUAAAAUAAUUACUAAUAUUUAUGCAGUACUUUUCCAGCUUAAAAAACCGGCGACAAGAUUAUAGGAUGAUCUUUGAACAACAGCCAUCAAAAUCAAUUGAUUUGUUUCUGUUGCAAAAAAGGUAGAGAUCAGCCAUAUUGAUAUUCACAUAGGUCGGCGGUGGCUUUUCCGUUUUCUAAUUAUCACCUAACUCUAUGUACUCUUUUUUUUUCAUUUUCCUUUUCUGUUAAAUAAACAUUAAUAGGAAAUUGCACUAAUUAAAUUAAAAAGAAGAAGAAAAGUCAAUGCUUUCAAAAUCUCCGACCAUCGUCGCCGGCGUUAUCACACGUUCUCUGGUGGAGGAAAAUUGAGGUCCAGAUUAAGACCUGGUCUGGUAGUCGGUUUAACAUCGUUACGCAUAAAAUCAAUCACCGAUGAUGACUCAGAUUCACUCUGGAUCCCACUUCCGCUGCCGCCAUGUCCGCCGUUACCGCCAAGGAAAUCAACCGUCUUCCUUUGCCGGUUGUUUUCCAGAUUUAUCACUCCCGCACGUGCCAGAGUCUCCAGAUAGUACAUGUGAUGAUUUACAGCCGGAGUUGCGCCGGUGAAUCCGCAGCCGGAGAACCCGACGGAAAUCGGAGAAGUACGGAACUGAUUGUUCUGGAACGGGAAUUUCACGCCGAGGCUGAGAUCUAACGGAGAUGAGUCAACCAUAACGGCAGGAGAUAAACCGUCACGGCUAGAUGACUCAACGGUACUGCUCUGACUCGGACUACGAUUGUUAUUAUCAUUAACAUUUGUAUUCAUCUUAACGCCUAAAUUGUUUUGGGCGAUUUUGAGGUUCUCUUCUUCCUCCGGAGGAAAAUUAGUUUUCGCCUUUGCACCGCGAAAUUCUCUCGCCGCCGCAUCGUAGGCUUUAGCUGCUUCCUCCGCCGUAUCAAAAGUCCCAAGCCAAACCCGGCUCUUUUUCCCCGGAUCUCUUAUCUCCGCCGCAUACCUCCCCCAUGGCCUCUUUCUUACGCCCCUAUAAUGCACCUCUUUUGAAAUUUCGUUCACUUUUCCAACCGCCGCCGUAACCUCCACCGCUACCGCGCCACCCUGUUGCUUCGGCGCCAUUUACGCUUUCCGCCUAUGUUAUUUUUGUAAUAGUAAUAAUUUUGGGCAAAUUAUGCUGAAAUUUGAUGAACU